Molecule: ribosomal RNA, 253 nt
Filed under: uncultured bacterium
Lineage: Bacteria
Description: partial 16S ribosomal RNA
Rfam family: Bacterial small subunit ribosomal RNA
Source: RNAcentral
UACGAAGGGGGCUAGCGUUGUUCGGAAUCACUGGGCGUAAAGGGCGCGUAGGCGGCCGUUCAAGUCGGGGGUGAAAGCCUGUGGCUCAACCACAGAAUGGCCUUCGAUACUGGACGGCUCGAGACCGGAAGAGGUCAGUGGAACUGCGAGUGUAGGGGUGAAAUUCGUAGAUAUUCGCAAGAACACCAGUGGCGAAGGCGGCUGACUGGUCCGGUUCUGACGCUGAGGCGCGAAAGCGUGGGGAGCAAACAGG